This 5324-nucleotide long non-coding RNA is filed under the name Phoenix dactylifera (date palm). RNAcentral describes it as "long non-coding RNA (PDAC_LNC010941)". Lineage: Eukaryota; Viridiplantae; Streptophyta; Magnoliopsida; Arecales; Arecaceae. The record is from RNAcentral.
UGCUACCUUCUCCUUCUCCUUCUCUUUCAAUCUCCUCUGACUUGAUCGUCGGAGGGCCCCCACUACCCCGGUGGUGGUGUGAGGCUUGCUUGCAGGUUUCACGGCGGAGGGCGGAGCGGAACCAAAGCAACUCAAAGGAAACCCCGUUCACACCGCUGUGCCAAUCGUUCUCGGUUUGGACCACCAGCAACAAGAGUGAUAGAAGAUUAGCACAAUUAAAUGCUAAAGUAAUUAAUGUACUUUACUGUUCACUAGAUGUAAGUGAAUUUAAUAGAAUAUCUACAUGCAUCUCUGCGAAAGAAAUUUGGGAUAAACUAGAGGUAACAUAUGAAGGAACUAAUCAAGUCAAAGAGUCGAAAAUAAAUAUAUUAGUACAUAAGUAUGAGUUGUUUAAAAUGGAAUCCACUGAGUCCAUAACUGAAAUGUUUACUCGAUUCAUGGAAAUCAUAAAUGGGCUGAAGAGUCUAGGAAAGUCUUAUACUAACUCUGAACUAGUGCGAAAAAAUUCUCAAGUCUCUACCAAGAGUUUGGGAGGUCAAGGUAACUGCAAUUCAAGAGGCAAAGGAUCUCAAUAUACUGCAAUUGGAAGAGCUUCUAGGAUCACUCAUGACCCAUGAGUUGACCAUGAGGCAAAAUUCAGAAGAUGAGGUUAAGAAAAGAAAGACCAUUGCCUUAAAGUCUACCACUCCAAAAUAGGAAACUGAAUCAGAAGAAUCUGAUGAUGAGGAGGAAUAUGAUAAAGAAGGAAUGGCUAUGCUUGCAAGAAAAUUCAGAAAAUUUAUGAGAGGUAAGAAGAAAUUUCAAAAAAGAAAGCCCUUCCUCAAAGGUAGCUCAAGCAAAGAAAAAGGUAAGGACAAAGAAAAGGAAAAGGAAACCCCAAUUUGCUAUGAGUGUAACAAGCCCGGGCAUUUCAAGAUAGACUGUCCGGAAUUGAAAUGGAUGGCAAGAAAACUUAAGAAGAGGAACCUCAUGGCUGAUUGGAGUGAAAGUGAGGAGUCAAGUUCGGAAGAGGAAGAUCAACAAGAGACAGCCCAAAUCUGCUACAUGGCCAAUGACGAUGAGGGGUGUCUUGCAUCAAAUAAGGUGGAUAAACGAUGGUAUCUAGAUAGUUGCUGUUCAAGAAAGGUGACGUAGAACAAUUUGUCACCUUGGAAUCUAAGAAGGGUGGAGUAGUAACCUAUGGAGACAAUGAAAAAGGAUUUAUCAUUGAAAAGGAUAAAAUUUUUAUUACUCCAUCCACCUUUAUAGAAAAUGUCUUAUUAGUUAAUAGUCUGAAACAUAACUUAGUAUAAGUCAAUUUUGUGAUAGAGGUCUUAAAGUUAUAUUUGAAGCUUCAGUAUGCAUAAUCACAAAUCCUAAAGAUAAUAGCAUUGUACUUAUAGGCCAAAGGCAUGGAAAUAUUUACAUGGUAGAUCUUCAUGAGUUAGGCAAGAAAAAUAGACUAUGCUUAAUUACUAAUGAAGAAAAGAAAAGUGAAACAAGUUGGCUUUGGCAUCGUAGACUAGGACAUGCUAGUAUGGACUUAAUAUCAAAACUAGUCAAGAAGGAUUUGAUAAAAGAUGUGCUAAAAUUGAUCUUUGAGAAAGACAAAAUCUGUGGAUCAUGCUCAUUAGGAAAGCAAACAAAAUCAUUCCUUCAAAUCAAAGAACAUAGUAUCAACUACUAGGCCUUUUGAACUCAUAUACAUGGAUUUAUUUGGGCCUACUAGAACUGCGAGUCUAGGAGGAAAAAAGUAUGGACUAGUUAUAGUUGAUGAUUUUUCAAGAUAUACAUGGGUUUCAUUCCUUGCACAUAAGAAUGAAGCAUUUUUAGCAUUCUUGAAAUAUUAUAAAAAUAUCAUAACUGAAAAAGAAGCUUACCUUAAUUGCAAUUCGAAGUGAUCAUGGAACUGAAUUUGAAAAUCAACACUUUGAAGAAUUUUAUAAUGAAAAUGGUAUCUCACAUCAAUUUUCAGCACCUAGAACGCCUCAACAAAAUGGGGUUGUUAAAAAGAAAAAUAGGACCUUGGCAGAAAUGGCACGCACAAUGUUGUGUGAGUCAAAUCUUCCAAAGUACUUUUGGGCUGAAGCUAUAAGUACUGCUUGCCAUAUUCUAAACCGUAUUUUAAUACGACCUAUAACCAAGAAAACCCCCUAUGAACUUUGGAAGAACAAGAAACCAACUGCUAAAUACCUUAGAAUAUUUGGAUGUAGAUGUUUCAUUUUAAAUAAUGGCAAGGCGGAUCUAAGUAAAUUUGAUGCCAAGUCAGAUGAAGGUAUCUUCUUAGGAUACUCUACANNNNNNNNNNNNNNNNNNNNNNNNNNNNNNNNNNNNNNNNNNNNNNNNNNNNNNNNNNNNNNNNNNNNNNNNNNNNNNNNNNNNNNNNNNNNNNNNNNNNNNNNNNNNNNNUAUUGAGUUUGAAAAACUAAAGCUUGAUGACGUGCAAAUCAAGAAAAGGAAGAUGAUCGUGUGCCACCACAAUCUCAAGACUUGCCAAAAGAAUGGAGGUAUGCACAUGGACACCCUAAAGAUUUAAUCAUUGGUGAUCCAUCUCAAGGGGUAAGAACUCGAUUAUCUCUUAGAAAUUUAAAUGACUAUCUUGCUUUUGUUUCACAAAUAGAACCUAAGACUUGUGAAGAAGCUAAAAAUGACAUAAAUUGGAUUAAUGCUAUGCAAGAAGAAUUAAAUCAAUUUAAAAGAAGCAAUGUUUGGACAUUAAUUAAGAGACCAAAGCAUAAUUCUGUAAUUGGAACAAAAUGGAUCUUUAGAAAUAAACUAGAUGAAAAUGGGAUAGUUUUAAGAAAUAAAGCUAGACUUGUAGCCAAGGGAUACAAUCAAGAAGAAGGCAUAGAUUUUGAAGAAACAUUUGCUUCCGUAGCUAGAUUGGAAGCUAUUAGAUUACUUUAUAGCUUUUGCAUGCUUCAUGGACUUUAAAUCAUAUCAAAUGGAUGUGAAAAGUGCUUUCUUAAAUGGUAAUAUAGAAGAAGAAGUGUAUGUAGAGCAACCAUCUGGUUUUGAGAAUCAUGAAUUCCCUGAUCAUGUAUUUAGAUUACAUAAGGCACUAUAAAGAUUACAUGGUAUGAUCGACUAAGCAAAUUUCUGUUAAGUAAUAACUUCAGUAGAGGAAAUUUAGAUAAAACACUCUUUCUCAAGAGAAAGGACAAAGAUUUGCUAGUAGUACAAAUAUAUGUAGAUGAUAUAAUUUUUGGUGCCACUAAUGAUAAUCUUUGCAAAGAGUUUGCUGAAUUAAUGCAAGGAGAAUUCGAGAUGAGUAUGAUGGGAGAACUAAAUUUCUUUCUCCGAUUGCAAAUCAAGCAAACUAAGGAAGGUAUUUUCAUUCAUCAAACUAAGUACACAAAGAAAAUAUUAAAGAAGUUUGGAAACGAAAAUCACAAGAGAAUAGGCACCCCAAUGAAUCCCACUAGUAAGCUAGACAAAGAUGAAAAAGAAAAAAGUGUAGAUAUGAAGCUUUAUAGAGGCUUAAUUAGAUCUUUGCUUUAUCUCACUGCUAGUAGGCCAGAUAUAGUGUUUAGUGUGGGCAUAUGUGCUAGAUACCAAUCAGAUCCUAAGGAGUUACAUCUAAGCGCUGUCAAAAAAAUUCUUAGAUAUCUGAGAGGAACCACNNNNNNNNNNNNNNNNNNNNAAGAAAAAGUGUAGAUAUGAAGCUUUAUAGAGGCUUAAUUAGAUCUUUGCUUUAUCUCACUGCUAGUAGGCCAGAUAUAGUGUUUAGUGUGGGCAUAUGUGCUAGAUACCAAUCAGAUCCUAAGGAGUUACAUCUAAGCGCUGUCAAAAAAAUUCUUAGAUAUCUGAGAGGAACCACAAACAUAGGAUUAUGGUACUCUAGAGACUCCUGUCUAGAUUUGCUUGCAUAUUCUGAUGCAGAUUUUGCUGGAUGCAAAUUAGAUAGGAAGAGCACUAGUGGAACAUGUCAAUUCUUAGGAAAUAACUUAGUAUCAUGGUUUAGCAAAAAGCAGAAUUCAGUAGCAUUGUCAACGGCUGAGGUCGAAUAUAUAGCUGUCGGCAAUUGCUGUGCUCAAGUACUAUGGCUUAAGCAACAACUGGAGGACUAUGGAAUUAAACUAGAUAACAUUCCUAUAAAGUGUGAUAAUACUAGUGCCAUUAACCUUACCAAAAAUCUGGUUCAGCACUCUAAAGCCAGACAUAUUGAAAUAAGGUAUCAUUUCAUUAGAGAUCAUGUACAAAAUGGAAAUGUAUGUAUUCAGCAUGUGUGUACCGAAAAACAACUAGCUAACAUAUUUACAAAACCUUUAAGUGAAGAUAGAUUUUGCAUACUUAGGAGGAAACUAGACAUAUGUGAUCCUUUUGAUUGAAUACAUAUAAGAGAAACAAAUUGUUUCAUGAUACUCUUCUCUUAAUUUGAAAAAUCCAUGAAACAUUAGUUAAACUAGGCAUUUAUAGACUCCUUACUCUUGUAUCAUUGUCCCAUGAAGAUUUGGUAAGGAUUGGAAGAAAGGAAGAAUUUAAAAAAAAAAAUUUGGUCUGAACUGGGGCUGACCCGAGCCAGAAUGGGGUCGACCCCACGUUGAGUCGACCCAAGAAAAAUCUGGGGUCGACCCAACGACGGGACCCCACUUUUAAAAGGGGGACUCGUGAGCUAUUCUAGGGCAUUAUCCUCUUCCUAAAAUCCUAUUUUUCACUUUUCAAUUGCUUCCAAUCAUCUCCAAAUAGUAGAAGAUAGCUUCCCCAAGCCGUUAGAUCAAGAUCUUCAACUCCAAAUAUUUUAACCCAUAACAUGCUUGAUAUUUUAGAUAUUUUAACUCUGGUACCAGUCGAAGACAGUCUUCCACUGCACAUCACAUGUGGCGCGGGCUCAUUCCCAAUACAUAGGGUGACACCCGCGCGUGCCUAUUAAAGCACUCAUCAUAUGAGCCCCCGGGUGGAGAGCCACGCUUCGUCACACGAUCACGCGUGAGAGUUCCGGAAAUCGGAUAGUCUCCACUAAUCCUUUGCUUUGACACCAAAUAUCACAAAGCCCUCAGAUUCCGAGGAUUGUGUGAUUCGAAUAAAUAUGCAUAAAUCACAACUUCUUGUGAUUUGAAGAUUGAUAUCAUAUCUCAACCGUAAAAGAGAUCAGGUCUCUUACCUUUAAAAGGGGGUUCUUUCAAGGAUGCUUCGCAGCCGCACAAGCGUCCGGCCUCGAUGACUCGUCCACGCGAAGCUCCGGAAUGAUCAGCUUCCCGGGGAGUGCUAGCUCGCAGGGAGGCAGAAGGUUAGCUGAAAUGGAGAAGGAAGAAGAUGGACCUUCACAGCUCAAGAACUCCUUCUUGGGCUUUCACCUUCAGAGCUACUCUCUCCUCUCACUCUCUUUCUCUGGUGCUCUUGAU